AUGCUCCCGGAUUAUCCGAACAUAGUUUCAUGGCGGCGCACGCCGACAGCAGAGUUCUCAGUGGGCACGGCUUACCAGGCCCUUUGUCCGCCGACAACUCACCCCUGGCUUGUCCCUCUAUGGAAAGCCCCCGUCCCAUUAAAGAUUAAGAUUUUUGUUUGGCAACUUCUACGAGAUCGUCUCCCCUCGGGGACAGAGGUACUUAAGUGGCAUGGACCUGGGGAUGGUAUUUGCCCCCUCUGUGCAGUACCGGAGACUGGGACGCAUAUUCUCUUCUCUUGUAUGGCAGCGAGGGUAUUAUGGACUUUUGUCCGCGAGGCGUUGGGGCCUGACUGGGAGGCCCUAAAUCUCGCCGAGUUCCUGCAGCUUCGAGCUAUACAGCCUGCACGACAUCGCCUCCUAUUUUGGCUUAUUUUUGUGGCAAUGUCGUGGACUCUUUGGACGACUAGGAAUAAGAUGGUGAUUGAGAAGGUUUUCCCGAAGAAGGCUUCUGACUCCUUCUUCAAAUUCCUUGCUUUCUUGCAGCACUGGCACCCGCUCUCGAGGCAGCGUGAUCGUGAUCGCCUUGGCUUGAUGAUGGUUGCGCUUUUGGCCUCGGCGCGUCGGCUAUUGUCCUCGUAG
Molecule: ribosomal RNA, 621 nt
Filed under: Triticum aestivum (bread wheat)
Lineage: Eukaryota; Viridiplantae; Streptophyta; Magnoliopsida; Poales; Poaceae
Description: partial small subunit ribosomal RNA
Source: RNAcentral